RNAcentral lists this ribosomal RNA (301 nucleotides) under uncultured bacterium. RNAcentral describes it as "partial 16S ribosomal RNA". It matches the Rfam family "Bacterial small subunit ribosomal RNA", at positions 509 to 807 of the family's 1533-position model. The record is from RNAcentral.
CAGUCGCCACGGUAAUACGAGGGGGGCAAGCGUUGUUCGGAAUUAUUGGGCGUAAAGGGUGCGUAGGCGGUUUGGCAAGUUUGGUGUGAAAUCUUCGGGCUCAACUCGAAGUCUGCACCGAAAACUGCCGGGCUUGAGUAUGGGAGAGGUGAGUGGAAUUUCCGGUGUAGCGGUGAAAUGCGUAGAUAUCGGAAGGAACACCUGUGGCGAAAGCGGCUCACUGGACCAUUGCUGACGCUGAGGCGCGAAAGCUAGGGGAGCAAACAGGAUUAGAUACCCGUGUAGUCCCUGUCUCUUAUAC